This is a long non-coding RNA of Asparagus officinalis (garden asparagus), 1186 nucleotides long. RefSeq lists it as uncharacterized. The transcript is spliced from 5 exons. NCBI's taxonomy places the organism in Eukaryota, Viridiplantae, Streptophyta, Magnoliopsida, Asparagales, Asparagaceae. The record is from RefSeq and is a predicted model, not a curated record.
UCUCCGGGCCACCAGCGACUGCCGACGCUAGCCGAUCGACACACCAGCAGCAAGAGCACCGACGACAGCGCCAGCGUCGACAUCUCUGGCGGCGAUAUCACGAGGCGGGAGUCCAGAAAGAGGAAGAGGAAUGAAAUCGAGAUGAAUAUGGAUAUGCUGAGGAUCAAGGAAUUUGCUGUCUCCCCCGAAAACGAUCAACCGACUCCGGACAUCAGCGGAUACAACGCCGGCGAAGAGUUCACCAGAGACAACGGCACCGCCAUCGGCGGAAACAACACGGAAGGGGACAACAACUCCGGAGGACAGAAGAAAACGGUGAUGCUGAGAACCAAGUUAAAAGAAUUCGGAAUUUGAAUGGACAUAGCAUAGGCCCUUACCAAAUACAUGCUGGAAAAUCUGUUCCAAUUGUAAAAGGUGGUGAGCAGGCAAAGAUGGAGGAGGGUGAAUUUUUUACAAUUGAGACUUUUGGAGGAGGGAGAUAUGAAGGGAGAGGAGGUGACCAUCAAGGUCAUUCCCAAAGCUAAGUAGAAAGGCAAAAAGGUGGUUGUGAUUGGUGGGGGCUAUAUUGGCAUGGAAGUUGCUACUGCAACCAUUGGAUGGAAUCUUGAUACCACUGUUAUUCACUCCUUCGCUCGCUCGGAGAUAUGACGAUCUUUAUUCUGAAACUGGCAUCAAAAUAUUAAAGUUGACUGCGUCGCACAUAGAGCCAUCGAGUAUAACACUAUACCAGUUUGGUAACACCUUGAUCAGUUCUCUUUGUUAUGAAUUGGCUUAUGCUGAGUCUAAAGGGAGGAUGAAGAGGGGAAACAGAGUGUGGAAGAUUGCAUUUGGGUCUGUCUUCAAGUGUAAUAGCACAGUCUGGAGAGCGUUGAUGACGGUGAAUCCUGCAAAAGAGAAGAAUCAGUGGAUGGCUGCGAUUGAUAAGUUUACUGUGGAGGUUCCUAGAGUUGCUGCAAUUUGAAAUAUCUGAUACUGGUUAUUGUUUGGAGUUAAUGGAAUUUGUUUCAAAUAUUAGUUAUGUUAGUUUUAACAAUGUUGUGGGAACAAAGCAGGCAUUAUCUUCCCUAGUGAGAUUUUUAGAUGCAAGGGAGAAAUUAGGUAGGUUAAUGUGUAUUUGGUCAGAGAGAGGUUGUAGCAGAAUCAACAAUGGCUGCAUUGUGAUACCCGUGAUCUUGUAUUUGAUUUA